CUAGGGGCGCAGCAGUGGGGAAUAUUGGACAAUGGGGGGAACCCUGAUCCAGCGAUGCCGCGUGAGUGAAGACGGCCUUCGGGUUGUAAAGCUCUGUCGCAGGGGACGAAAAUGACGGUACCCUGCAAGAAAGCUCCGGCUAACUACGUGCCAGCAGCCGCGGUAAUACGUAGGGAGCAAGCGUUGUCCGGAAUUACUGGGUGUAAAGGGAGCGUAGGCGGGAGGAUAAGUUGAAUGUGAAAUCCAUGGGCUCAACCC
Molecule: ribosomal RNA, 258 nt
Filed under: uncultured bacterium
Lineage: Bacteria
Description: partial 16S ribosomal RNA
Rfam family: Bacterial small subunit ribosomal RNA
Source: RNAcentral